ACAUAAAGUAUCUUUGACCUUUCCUCGGUCAAAGAUACUUUUAAUUACCUUUUUCAUAUGUUGCUAACACCUGUCCAAAUUUUAAUUAAAUUUAUAAUUAUUAUAUUGUUUUUACUCUAUUGAUCUUUAUAUAUAUUUUUUAAAAUAUAAAGAUAUCAUUAUCAUCUUCUAUUAUGUUAUUCUCAUCCUUCUCUCUUAAAUUUUCUCUCUCUAACCCUCUCCCGACUCAGACUUGUUUGGGUGGGCUCCGCACCGCGCCAUUCCCGGCACAGCGACAACCCCUUUUGUCGACGAUGUAUCCCUUCCGUUUUUCUUCUUUCAGCUUCCUUUUCCUCUUCCCCACCUUCGCUUACGUCCUCGUCCUCCAACCCGCAGUUUGUGAGCCAUCGCCCCCUACUCUGCUUCUCUUUGUGCUUCAAUUCGUGAUGGCUCCUCUUCUUCCUUGCAGCAAGGCUUCGUCUGUUUCAUCCCGGAGUUGUUUGCUUGGGCUUCCCGCCGUCUUUCUUCGAUGGUCCGCGUGGUGGAGUUCUCAGGACAGUGGUUGGGUGGUUUUUCUUGUUGUGGUGCGUCCCUAGUUGUGGGUCGUUCCUUUUGAGCAGUGACGAAGGGUGGGCUCAGACUUGCUUCGUAUGGCGGUGGCGGUAACCUAUAUCAUUUGUGAUUGUCUUAUUUUCUCCUUCUAUGUGUGGUUCUAGUUAUGUGGAGUGAUCUUUUGUGUUGUGGCGCUUGGAUUAGUUUAUGCGACACUCCUUUUAGCUCUUUUUGCUUUUGGUCAGGCGAGGCAUGGUUGAUUUGAGUCGAUGUAGAGCCCGGUUUGUGUUUGGGUUUUCAGAUGCCCCUGCUACCAUGGUUCGUGCUGUGAAGAUGUUUGCUGGAUCCGUUUUGGUCGAUCUUAUCGUCACUUCUGUUUCUUGUUUUUUGAGGCCUUGGAUGGUUAUUCUUUUUUGUUCCUGUUUGCUUAGGCUUUGGGUCCCAGCUAUAUGGAGUGUGGUUCUCUGAUCCUAUUGGGUCUUUUUGUUUUGCACUACUAGUUGGAUCUUUGUUUCAA
Molecule: long non-coding RNA, 1048 nt
Organism: Lotus japonicus
Lineage: Eukaryota; Viridiplantae; Streptophyta; Magnoliopsida; Fabales; Fabaceae
Exons: 2
Source: RefSeq, a predicted model, not a curated record